This 301-nucleotide ribosomal RNA is filed under the name uncultured bacterium. Its description in RNAcentral is "partial 16S ribosomal RNA". It matches the Rfam family "Bacterial small subunit ribosomal RNA", at positions 509 to 807 of the family's 1533-position model. The record is from RNAcentral.
CAGUCGCCGCGGGAAAACGGAGGGAGCUAGCGUUGUUCGGAAUUACUGGGCGUAAAGCGUGCGUAGGCGGCUUCUUAAGUCGGAUGUGAAAUCCCUGAGCUUAACUUAGGAAUUGCAUUCGAUACUGGGAAGCUAGAGUAUGGGAGAGGAUGGUAGAAUUCCAGGUGUAGCGGUGAAAUGCGUAGAGAUCUGGAGGAAUACCGAUGGCGAAGGCAGCCAUCUGGCCUAAUACUGACGCUGAGGUACGAAAGCAUGGGGAGCAAACAGGAUUAGAUACCCCCGUAGUCCCUGUCUCUUAUAC